Molecule: ribosomal RNA, 429 nt
Filed under: uncultured archaeon
Lineage: Archaea
Description: bacterial SSU rRNA
Rfam family: Archaeal small subunit ribosomal RNA
Source: RNAcentral
UACCAGCUCUCCGAGUGGUAGGGAUGAUUAUUGGGCUUAAAGCGUCCGUAGCCGGCUUAGCAAGUCUCCUGUUAAAUUCAGCGACCUAAUCGUUGAGCCGCGGGAGAUACUACUAGGCUAGGAGGCGGGAGAGGUCAACGGUACUUCCGGGGUAGGGGUGAAAUCCUAUAAUCCCGGGAGGACCACCAGUGGCGAAGGCUGUUGACUAGAACGCGCUCGACGGUGAGGGACGAAAGCUGGGGGAGCGAACCGGAUUAGAUACCCGGGUAGUCCCAGCUGUAAACGAUGCGAGCUAGGUGUUGGGGUGGCUACGUGCCACUUCAGUGCCGCAGGGAAGCCAUUAAGCUCGCCGCCUGGGGAGUACGGCCGCAAGGCUGAAACUUAAGGGAAUUGGCGGGGGAGCACCACAAGGCGUGAAGCUUGCGGUUC